RNAcentral lists this ribosomal RNA (281 nucleotides) under unidentified marine bacterioplankton. Its description in RNAcentral is "partial 16S ribosomal RNA". It matches the Rfam family "Bacterial small subunit ribosomal RNA", at positions 58 to 339 of the family's 1533-position model. RNAcentral also lists the same sequence under 1 other name. The record is from RNAcentral.
CAAGUCGAACGGUGAAGGUGGAGCUUGCUCCGCCGGAACAGUGGCGAACGGGUGAGUAACACGUGGGCAAUCUGCCCCUAACUCUGGGAUAACUACUCGAAAGAGUAGCUAAUACCGGAUACGAAAUCUGAGGACAUCCUCGGAUUUGGAAAGUUUUCGGUUAGGGAUGAGCCCGCGGCCUAUCAGCUGGUUGGUGAGGUAGUGGCUCACCAAGGCGACGACGGGUAGCCGGCCUGAGAGGGCGACCGGCCACACUGGGACUGAGACACGGCCCAGACUCC